RNAcentral lists this ribosomal RNA (460 nucleotides) under uncultured bacterium. RNAcentral's name for it is "partial 16S ribosomal RNA". It matches the Rfam family "Bacterial small subunit ribosomal RNA", at positions 338 to 795 of the family's 1533-position model. The record is from RNAcentral.
CCUACGGGAGGCAGCAGUGAGGAAUAUUGGUCAAUGGGCGCGAGCCUGAACCAGCCAAGUAGCGUGAAGGAUGACUGCCCUACGGGUUGUAAACUUCUUUUAUAAGGGAAUAAAGUGUGGGACGGGUCCUGUUUUGUAUGUACCUUAUGAAUAAGGAUCGGCUAACUCCGUGCCAGCAGCCGCGGUAAUACGGAGGAUCCGAGCGUUAUCCGGAUUUAUUGGGUUUAAAGGGUGCGUAGGCGGCCUUUUAAGUCAGCGGUGAAAGUCUGUGGCUCAACCAUAGAAUUGCCGUUGAAACUGGGAGGCUUGAGUAUGUUUGAGGCAGGCGGAAUGCGUGGUGUAGCGGUGAAAUGCUUAGAUAUCACGCAGAACCCCGAUUGCGAAGGCAGCCUGCCAAGCCAUGACUGACGCUGAUGCACGAAAGCGUGGGGAUCAAACAGGAUUAGAUACCCGUGUAGUC